GACGAACGCUGGCGGCGUGCUUAACACAUGCAAGUCGAACGGAAAGGCCCUGCUUUUGUGGGGUGCUCGAGUGGCGAACGGGUGAGUAACACGUGAGUAACCUGCCCUUGACUUUGGGAUAACUUCAGGAAACUGGGGCUAAUAUCGGAUAGGAGCUCCUGCUGCAUGGUGGGGGUUGGAAAGUUUCGGCGGUUGGGGAUGGACUCGCGGCUUAUCAGCUUGUUGGUGGGGUAGUGGCUUACCAAGGCUUUGACGGGUAGCCGGCCUGGGAGGGUGACCGGCCACAUUGGGACUGAGGUACGGCCCAGACUCCUACGGGAGGCAGCAGUGGGAAAUAUUGCACAAUGGGCGGAAGCCGGAUGCAGCAACGCCGCGUGCGGGAUGACGGCCUUCGGGUUGUAAACCGCUUUCGCCUGUGACGAAGCGUGAGUGACGGUAAUGGGUAAAGAAGCACCGGCUAACUACGUG
This 468-nucleotide ribosomal RNA is filed under the name uncultured bacterium. RNAcentral describes it as "partial 16S ribosomal RNA". It matches the Rfam family "Bacterial small subunit ribosomal RNA", at positions 28 to 507 of the family's 1533-position model. The record is from RNAcentral.